GCAAACUUGGUCAUUUAGAGGAAGUAAAAGUCGUAACAAGGUUUCCGUAGGUGAACCUGCGGAAGGAUCAUUAAUGAAUAAACCUGGUAGACUGUUGCUGACUCUUUAGGGAGUAUGUGCACGUUUAUCAUCUUUAUCUUUCCACCUGUGCACCUUUGUAGAUUCUGUACAUGUUUGUAUUAACCGAGUUGUGUCCUUUGAUUAGGGCCACUCAGUUGUGUGAGGAUUGCUGGCCAUACCAAAAGUCGGCCUUUCCUUGAUUGUAUCAGGAUCUAUGUUUUUCAUAUAAUACACCCCAAUGAAUGUAAUUGAAUGUAAUAAAAAGGUCGCUUUUGCACCUAUAAAAAUAUAUACAACUUUCAGCAACGGAUCUCUUGGCUCUCGCAUCGAUGAAGAACGCAGC
RNAcentral lists this unclassified non-coding RNA (403 nucleotides) under uncultured fungus. Its description in RNAcentral is "partial contains small subunit ribosomal RNA, internal transcribed spacer 1, and 5.8S ribosomal RNA". The stretch from base 1 to 73 matches the Rfam family "Eukaryotic small subunit ribosomal RNA", at positions 1759 to 1831 of the family's 1831-position model. The record is from RNAcentral. Lineage: Eukaryota; Fungi.